CCUACGGGGGGCAGCAGUGGGGAAUAUUGGACAAUGGGGGGAACCCUGAUCCAGCCAUGCCGCGUGUGUGAAGAAGGCCCUCGGGUUGUAAAGCACUUUCAGUGAGGAAGAACGCCUGGUGGUUAAUACCCAUCAGGAAAGACAUCACUCACAGAAGAAGCACCGGCUAACUCCGUGCCAGCAGCCGCGGUAAUACGGAGGGUGCGAGCGUUAAUCGGAAUUACUGGGCGUAAAGCGCGCGUAGGUGGCUUGAUAAGCCGGUUGUGAAAGCCCCGGGCUCAACCUAGGAACGGCAUCCGGAACUGUCAAGCUAGAGUGCAGGAGAGGAAGGUAGAAUUCCCGGUGUAGCGGUGAAAUGCGUAGAGAUCGGGAGGAAUACCAGUGGCGAAGGCGGCCUUCUGGACUGACACUGACACUGAGGUGCGAAAGCGUGGGUAGCAAACAGGAUUAGAUACCCCUGUAGUC
Molecule: ribosomal RNA, 465 nt
Filed under: Vreelandella stevensii
Lineage: Bacteria; Pseudomonadati; Pseudomonadota; Gammaproteobacteria; Oceanospirillales; Halomonadaceae
Description: partial 16S ribosomal RNA
Rfam family: Bacterial small subunit ribosomal RNA
Source: RNAcentral